This is a long non-coding RNA of Aethalodelphis obliquidens (Pacific white-sided dolphin), 514 nucleotides long. RefSeq lists it as uncharacterized. The record is from RefSeq and is a predicted model, not a curated record. The transcript is spliced from 3 exons. NCBI's taxonomy places the organism in Eukaryota, Metazoa, Chordata, Mammalia, Artiodactyla, Delphinidae.
AGAGACUGUCAUACAGAGUGAAUCUGCCCUCAAAAGGAUUUGAUAUAAUACAGACUUGAUGAGUUCUGAUGCUUAAAAAAAAAGAAAAGGAAAAAAAAGGCAUACAUAUCUUCUUCAGGAAAACCAAAGGUAGGCCAGAAUUAUAUGUUGUAAGCAGUUUUACAUUUCUGUGUGUAUUAUUCCUUUGCUUUAAUGCAUUUAAAAAAUGCUUAUCAGUUCAUAAUGAAAAAAUAGUUUUAGUGAGACAAGAAAUGCUGAUGUAUUUCUUUUAAUGAAUAUCCUGGCUUUCUUUGUGCAAACAACCACACAAAGUGUUCCUUUAUGAUUUCAGAAUGGAGGUGUUUUAAAAUGAUUUAUAAUUAUGUAAAUCUUUUACUAGAAUGGUAAUUUUAAAAUUUUGCUAAGACUAUAAAUUUCCUUUUUAUUGUUAAUUGCGGGCCUAACAUAGAUUUCAGGGGAAAAAAAUACCCUGAAUAUGAGACGUGCUAUUAUAUAGAUCAUACUAUACAUAAAC